Molecule: ribosomal RNA, 301 nt
Filed under: uncultured bacterium
Lineage: Bacteria
Description: partial 16S ribosomal RNA
Rfam family: Bacterial small subunit ribosomal RNA
Source: RNAcentral
CAGUCGCCGCGGGAAUACGUAGGGGGCAAGCGUUAUCCGGAAUUACUGGGUGUAAAGGGAGCGUAGACGGUUAAACAAGUCUGAAGUGAAAUGCCGGGGCUCAACCCCGGAGCUGCUUUGGGAACUGUAGAACUGGAGUGUCGGAGGGGUAAGCGGAAUUCCCAGUGUAGCGGUGAAAUGCGUAGAUAUUGGGAGGAACACCGGCGACGAAGGCGGCUUACUGGACGACAACUGACGUUGAGGCUCGAAGGCGUGGGUCGCAAACAGGAUUAGAUACCCCCGUAGUCCCUGUCUCUUAUAC